AACGUCAAUAAUUUCAUGUUUAAAUAAAUAAUUAUAAGUGAUUUUCUCUUACAUAGAAUAGCAUAUCUAUAGAAUAAUUCACUUUUUAUGUGCCGCUUGGCUGCAUUCGGCUUCAGCCAAACGCUUGCACUCGAUGACACGGAGUGUUGUUUACAUCUACAAACGUGGCGACAUCAGCUGAGAUAUGCAGUUGAUUUUAAUGCAAUAACCGGGAAUCUUAAAAGAAAAUAGGGAUAAGAUAAGAGACAAGGCAUUGCUUAACCCUAUUACGAGAAUAUGAGGACAUUAUUUUGGAAGAUAAUGGAAGACUGAGACGAUCAUCAUCAGCUCCCUAGAUCCAUCUCUGCAGUACAUUUAGCCCAGCUAGCUGUCAAGAGUUCCAGGCUUGAGGAUGAAUAAAUAAGAAUCCCUUCCAUUUCUCCACAGGCUAUUCCCAAAGAAUUGGAUCUAUGGAUUCAUUCAGGCAGCAAGUUAAUCCAUCAUUUAAGGAAAAUGAAUUGAUUUCAUCCACAAAAACAUGAAGUGAUGGAAAUAAUUUGCACCUGCUCAGUAUUCCUUAUAAAGUCUACCUAUGAAUUUGAAAAGCUGUUUAUGAAAUAAAUUUUCUUGAUCAAUAAAUUAUGCUUUGACUUUUUCAUAUACAU
Long non-coding RNA from Saccostrea cuccullata (small rock oyster), 644 nucleotides. RefSeq lists it as uncharacterized. The transcript is spliced from 4 exons. NCBI's taxonomy places the organism in Eukaryota, Metazoa, Mollusca, Bivalvia, Ostreida, Ostreidae. The record is from RefSeq and is a predicted model, not a curated record.